AUUGAACGCUGGCGGCAGGCCUAACACAUGCAAGUCGGGCGGAUGAAGGGAGCUUGCUCCUGGAUUCAGCGGCGGACGGGUGAGUAAUGCCUAGGAAUCUGCCUGGUAGUGGGGGAUAACGUCCGGAAACGGGCGCUAAUACCGCAUACGUCCUGAGGGAGAAAGUGGGGGAUCUUCGGACCUCACGCUAUCAGAUGAGCCUAGGUCGGAUUAGCUAGUUGGUGGGGUAAAGGCCUACCAAGGCGACGAUCCGUAACUGGUCUGAGAGGAUGAUCAGUCACACUGGAACUGAGACACGGUCCAGACUCCUACGGGAGGCAGCAGUGGGGAAUAUUGGACAAUGGGCGAAAGCCUGAUCCAGCCAUGCCGCGUGUGUGAAGAAGGUCUUCGGACUGUAAAGCACUUUAAGUUGGGAGGAAGGGCAGUAAGUUAAUACCUUGCUGUUUUGACGUUACCAACAGAAUAAGCACCGGCUAACUUCGUG
RNAcentral lists this ribosomal RNA (484 nucleotides) under uncultured bacterium. RNAcentral describes it as "partial 16S ribosomal RNA". It matches the Rfam family "Bacterial small subunit ribosomal RNA", at positions 30 to 507 of the family's 1533-position model. The record is from RNAcentral.